Molecule: long non-coding RNA, 340 nt
Organism: Bos taurus (domestic cattle)
Lineage: Eukaryota; Metazoa; Chordata; Mammalia; Artiodactyla; Bovidae
Source: Ensembl
AGCACCCUGCGCCAGCGGAGGCGGCGUUGCGUCAAUACUGGGCGCCGCGCGGACGUCGUAAUGUUGUGCAGUGGAUAAGAAUUCACCUGCUGAUGCAGGGGACACGGGUUCAAUCACUGGUCUGGCAAGAUUUCACAAGCCAAGGAGCAACUAAGCCCAUGUACCCCGACCACUGAGCCUGUGUGUUGCAGCUACUGAAGCCCACGUGCCUACAACCUGUGCUCCACAAGAGAAGCCACUGCGACGAGAAGCCCACACACAGCGAUGAAGAGCAGUCCCUGCUCACUGCAGCUACAGAAAGCCUGGGUUCUGACCAGUCUGGGAUCUCAGCCUAUAGCCA